This 253-nucleotide ribosomal RNA is filed under the name uncultured bacterium. RNAcentral's name for it is "partial 16S ribosomal RNA". It matches the Rfam family "Bacterial small subunit ribosomal RNA", at positions 524 to 776 of the family's 1533-position model. The record is from RNAcentral.
UACAGAGGUCUCAAGCGUUGUUCGGAUUCAUUGGGCGUAAAGGGUGUGUAGGUGGCGCGCUAAGUCGGGUGUGAAAUUUCGGAGCUUAACUCCGAAACUGCAUUCGAUACUGGCGUGCUUGAGGACUGGAGAGGAGACUGGAAUUCAUGGUGUAGCAGUGAAAUGCGUAGAGAUCAUGAGGAAGACCAGUGGCGAAGGCGGCUCUCUGGGCCUUUCCUGACGCUGAGACGCGAAAGCGUGGGGAGCGAACCGG